Molecule: ribosomal RNA, 371 nt
Filed under: uncultured bacterium
Lineage: Bacteria
Description: bacterial SSU rRNA
Rfam family: Bacterial small subunit ribosomal RNA
Source: RNAcentral
GUAGGGUGCAAGCAUUAAUCGGAAUUAUUGGGCGUAAAGGGCGCGUAGGCGGAUAGUCAAGUCGUGUGUGAAAUUUCGGGGCUCAACCUCGAAGCGGCACAGGAAACUCACUAUCUUGAGGGUAGACGGAGAGAACGGAAUUCCACAAGUAGCGGUGAAAUGCGUAGAUAUGUGGAAGAACACCGGUGGCGAAGGCGGUUCUCUAGUUUAUUCCUGACGCUGAGGCGCGAAAGCAAGGGGAGCAAACAGGAUUAGAUACCCUGGUAGUCCUUGCCUUAAACUAUGUAUACUUGAUGUAUCUGGACUCAACCCUAGAUGUGUCGAAGCUAACGCGAUAAGUAUACCGCCUGGGGAGUACGCUCGCAAGGGUG